Molecule: long non-coding RNA, 182 nt
Organism: Sapajus apella (tufted capuchin)
Lineage: Eukaryota; Metazoa; Chordata; Mammalia; Primates; Cebidae
Exons: 3
Source: RefSeq, a predicted model, not a curated record
GAGAGUCAGGAAACAUGCUGGAGAGGAUAUGGAGAAAUAGGAAGGCUUUUACACUCUUGGUGGGAGUGUAAAUUAUUCCAACCAUUGCGGAAGAUGGUGUCUCCAUUCCUCAAGAAUCUAGAAAUAGAAAUUCCAUUUGACCCAGCAUCCCAUUAUUGGGUAUAUACCCAGAGGAUUAUAAA